GAUCAGAUACCGUCGUAGUCUUCUGUAAACUAUGCCAAUUGGGGAUCAGCAUCAUGACUGUGUUGGCACCCGAAGAGAAAUCUUUAAAUGAGGUUCGGGAGGGAGUAUGGUCGCAAGGCUGAAACUUAAAGGAAUUGACGGAAGGGCACCACCAGGUGUGGAGCCUGCGGCUUAAUUUGACUCAACACGGGGAAACUCACCAGGUCCAGACACAAUAAGGAUUGACAGAUUGAUAGCUCUCUCUUGAUCUUGUGGUUGGUGGUGCAUGGCCUUUCUUAGUUGGUGGAGUGAUUUGUCUGGUUAAUUCCGAUAACGAACGAGACCUUAACCUGCUAAAUAGACUUCUUAGAGGGACUAUGUUUGAGGCAAUAACAGGUCUGUGAUGCCCUUAGAAGUUCUGGGCCGCACGCGCGCUACACUGACAGAGCCAGCGAGCCUUUGCCGGAAGGCAUGGGUAAUCUUGUGAAACUCUGUCGUGAUGGAGAUAGAGCAUUGCAAUUAUUGCUCUUCAACGAGGAAUACCUAGUAAGCGUGAUUCAUCAGAUCGCGUUGAUUACGUCCCUGCCCUUUGUACUCACCGCCCGUCGCUACUACCGAUUGAAUGGCUUAGUGAGGCCUCCGGGAGAAGUUGUACGAACUUGUCAUUUAGAGAAGUUAAAAGUCGUAACAAGGUUUCCGUAGGUGAACCUGCAGAAGGAUCA
This 701-nucleotide ribosomal RNA is filed under the name uncultured eukaryote. RNAcentral's name for it is "SSU rRNA". It matches the Rfam family "Eukaryotic small subunit ribosomal RNA", at positions 1006 to 1828 of the family's 1831-position model. The record is from RNAcentral.